CAGUAGCGCGGUAAUACAGAGGGUGCGAGCGUUAAUCGGAUUUACUGGGCGUAAAGCGUGCGUAGGCGGCUUUUUAAGUCGGAUGUGAAAUCCCUGAGCUUAACUUAGGAAUUGCAUUCGAUACUGGGAAGCUAGAGUAUGGGAGAGGAUGGUAGAAUUCCAGGUGUAGCGGUGAAAUGCGUAGAGAUCUGGAGGAAUACCGAUGGCGAAGGCAGCCAUCUGGCCUAAUACUGACGCUGAGGUACGAAAGCAUGGGGAGCAAACAGGAUUAGAUACCCCAGUAGUCCCUGUCUCUUAUACA
This 301-nucleotide ribosomal RNA is filed under the name uncultured bacterium. RNAcentral describes it as "partial 16S ribosomal RNA". It matches the Rfam family "Bacterial small subunit ribosomal RNA", at positions 509 to 808 of the family's 1533-position model. The record is from RNAcentral.